Molecule: long non-coding RNA, 553 nt
Filed under: Equus caballus (horse)
Lineage: Eukaryota; Metazoa; Chordata; Mammalia; Perissodactyla; Equidae
Description: lncRNA (ENSECAG00000036276.2)
Source: RNAcentral
AAUUUGUAUUCUAAACAUUUACAUAAUUCAUAAAAAAAUCUGUUUAUUCUAAAAGUUAGAUUCAAAGAUUUUAUCUCCAUCUGCACCUUAUUUUCGCUCUUUUCUUACACAAAAUACAGAAGAAUGUCCUCACCGUUUCGCACCCUGCCUUUUUCACUGCACAUCUGCAUCCAGAUGUGAGCACAGAGACCUUCCUCAUUCCUUCUCAGCUGGCUAAUCCCCUGUUGUGGGGUGGACUGUGGAGCUCCAAACUUCUAUUACCUUUCUUUGAGACCAUUUCAUUCCUCUGGGAACUGAUUUGCAAGGUUGUUCUGGCAUUAUUGUUCUGAAAAAUUACAAUCCUUCCUGCUGCUGUGGUAGAUUGUUAUAAUUAUGACCUCAGCGAAGCCUGUUUCCCUGCGUCCAUCCACAGACCUUCGCCACGUAAAGUUGUUCUCAUCAAUGUGUGGAGUCCACCUGGCUACCCCCUUGAUCCAGGCUGGCUCUGUAAGCUGGUCUGAUGAAUAAAACGGGUAGCAGUGAUGUUUUCAGAGCUAAGUCCAGAACAACUUCC